RNAcentral lists this transfer RNA (88 nucleotides) under Cellvibrionaceae bacterium. Its description in RNAcentral is "tRNA-Ser". It matches the Rfam family "tRNA". From Rfam's summary of the family: Transfer RNA (tRNA) molecules are approximately 80 nucleotides in length. The record is from RNAcentral. Lineage: Bacteria; Pseudomonadati; Pseudomonadota; Gammaproteobacteria; Cellvibrionales; Cellvibrionaceae.
GGAAACGUGGUAGAGAGGUCUAAUACACUUCCCUGCUAAGGAAGAGUGUCUAACGGCACCGAAGGUUCGAAUCCUUCCGUUUCCGUCA